Molecule: long non-coding RNA, 422 nt
Organism: Ochotona princeps (American pika)
Lineage: Eukaryota; Metazoa; Chordata; Mammalia; Lagomorpha; Ochotonidae
Exons: 2
Source: RefSeq, a predicted model, not a curated record
AAGAGCAGCCAGUUGAGCUUUCACCACCUGGCUCCUCCACCACCAUCCUGUUGGACUGCCAGUCAUUCAACACCCUCGGCUCCUCCACUGCCUUCCUGUUAGACUGCUGGGCCCUUCACACACUUAACUCCUCAACUGCCCUGCAGGUGGACUGACUGGCCCUGACUGUCCUAGGCUCCUACACUACCCAACAGUUGAACUGGCUGGCAACUCACCACCCUCAGGUCCUCCACCACCCUCUGGUUGGACAGGUCUUUCACCAUCCUCAACAACUCCACCGCCAUUCAGAUGGGAUGGAAAGCCAAACAUCGCCCUCAGUUGGAAUGCCGGACCGAUCAUCACCAUUCCAACUGGAGGUCAGUGCAGGAACCAAGGUGGAGAAGGUAGCCAAGGGUAGUAAAGGGCUAGGCAGUCCACCACUA